Molecule: non-coding RNA, 168 nt
Filed under: human gut metagenome
Also listed under: 1 other name
Description: Lysine riboswitch
Rfam family: Lysine riboswitch aptamer
About the family: Riboswitches are metabolite binding domains within certain messenger RNAs that serve as precision sensors for their corresponding targets. Allosteric rearrangement of mRNA structure is mediated by ligand binding, and this results in modulation of gene expression.
Source: RNAcentral
UGGAUAGAGGUUGCGUAUUCUAAUAGUACCUCGCAGGAUGCGGCAGGGCAGAUGAUUGCGGGAGAAAGGAGCAUACGCCGAAAGGACACGGGACUGCAACCCGCGGGCCUUGGGCAUAAGUUUAACAGGCUUAUGACUGUCAUCUGUAGUGGAUGGGGCGCUAUCUGA